Molecule: ribosomal RNA, 500 nt
Filed under: uncultured bacterium
Lineage: Bacteria
Description: partial 16S ribosomal RNA
Rfam family: Bacterial small subunit ribosomal RNA
Source: RNAcentral
AUUGAACGCUGGCGGCAUGCUUUGCACAUGCAAGUCGAACGGUAACAGGGUGCUUGCACCGCUGACGAGUGGCGAACGGGUGAGUAAUGCGUCGGAACGUGCCGAGUAGUGGGGGAUAACGCAGCGAAAGUUGUGCUAAUACCGCAUACGUACUGAGGUAGAAAGUGGGGGACCUUCGGGCCUCACGCUAUUCGAGCGGCCGACGUCUGAUUAGCUAGUAGGUGAGGUAAAGGCCCACCUAGGCGACGAUCAGUAGCGGGUCUGAGAGGAUGAUCCGCCACACUGGGACUGAGACACGGCCCAGACUCCUACGGGAGGCAGCAGUGGGGAAUUUUGGACAAUGGGCGAAAGCCUGAUCCAGCCAUGCCGCGUGUCUGAAGAAGGCCUUCGGGUUGUAAAGGACUUUUGUCAGGGAGGAAAUCCCUAGUGCUAAUAACACUGGGGGAUGACAGUACCUGAAGAAUAAGCACCAGCUAACUACGUGCCAGCAGCCGCAGUAA